CUGUCGUCAGCUCGUGCCGUGAGGUGUUGGGUUCAGUCCCGCAACGAGCGCAACCCUCGCCCUUUGUUGCCAUCGGGUAAAGCCGGGCACUCUAAGGGGACUGCCAGCGACAAGUUGGAGGAAGGAGAGGAUGACGUCAAGUCAUCAUGGCCUUUAUGCCUAGGGCCACACACGUGCAACAAUGGCCGGUACAGACGGAGGCAAUGCCGAGAGGCGGAGCAAACCCGAGAAAACCGGUCCCAGUUCGGAUUGAGGUCUGCAACUCGACCUCAUGAAGUCGGAAUCGCUAGUAAUCGCAUAUCAGAACGAUGCGGUGAAUACGUUCCCGGGCCUUGUACGCACCGCCCGUCACACCACGAAAGUUUGUUGUACCCGAAGUCGGUGCCUUAACCUCGCAAGAGGAGAGAGCCGCCCAAGGUAUGGCCGAUGAUUGGGGUGAAG
This 441-nucleotide ribosomal RNA is filed under the name uncultured bacterium. Its description in RNAcentral is "bacterial SSU rRNA". It matches the Rfam family "Bacterial small subunit ribosomal RNA", at positions 1049 to 1485 of the family's 1533-position model. The record is from RNAcentral.